Long non-coding RNA from Zeugodacus cucurbitae (melon fly), 5250 nucleotides. RefSeq lists it as uncharacterized. NCBI's taxonomy places the organism in Eukaryota, Metazoa, Arthropoda, Insecta, Diptera, Tephritidae. The record is from RefSeq and is a predicted model, not a curated record. The transcript has 3 exons.
UUUUUCAAUAUUUGUUUUUUAGUUUUCAAUUUUUUUUUUUUAAUUUUUAUGAUAAUAUUAUUUUUUUUAUCAAACCAAACAUGAUAUAAAAAUUUAAAUUUUUUAAUUUUUAUGCUAUUAUUAAACAAUCUGGCAUUAUUGGAGUGCUUGAAGAACUCAAUCAUUUUCCUUAUACGUAGUCACUAAGCGAGUUUUCUCACACUGCCGCAACUAGUGUUGAGUGUUUUUGAAGUAGUUGAUAUUCUCUCACCUUACGCACUCAAGCUGAGUAUUUUCACUAGAUAGGCGCACGCUCACGAACAAAUGACGCUCUCUAUAUCUCUUGCAUCGUUAUUUCGCUCACGCACCCAAAUGGGCGCUCUCGCAACGUCAUUUAUUACAACACUAAAUGGGUGUGCAUCAUAUGAUUUACCGGCUUUUUAAGUGGCGUCAAUAACAACCCCAAAAGUUGUUGAUUUUUUUUUGCUGGAUUCUUGUUAUUGUUAACUUUAAUGAAUAAAAAUGUAGAUGGGCAAGGACGCUGCAGCGCAAUGCAUUACUUGUUAAUGAAAAGGAUUAAAUGCUGAUUUCGCAGGAAAAAUUUUUGAUUUUUUUUUGUGAAUGGUAAAACUUUUCGAAGGUAGCAAGCUGGAUAAGAAGUUGGCUUAUUUUAUGGUGUUAUGCAAAUGUAUUUUCUAAAUUCCUUUUUAAGAUAUCUUUCGUCUUUAUUGAUUCAAUUUAAAAUGCUUUAAUGAUUUUUGAUUGCUCUAAAAGUUUAAAACGAAGCGCCUUCUUACUUUAAAGCUUCUGCUCUCUUAUUCUAUCAACUGUAUACUCACUUUAAAGGUAACUUUAAUGCAAACGCUUUUUUGCUUUCGUUCUUAUAAGCAAAAAAAACUACUCCAUCACUCAUUCCCAGUCAACGAAAAGGCAGCGAAGAAAGUACCCUUUUCCAAAAACAAAAAAGAAAAUAAAAGUUAGCUACUUCUUGGUCUAGACACUGUCGUCGUUCCGAAGUUGUCGAAUGUCGAAAGUUGCGCGCUGUGCCAGUGGUGGCGGUUUAACAACCGCGCCCGUUUUGCCACCUUUCUCAUCAGCAGCCGCUGCAACGACUAGUCGCUGUCUACACUACAUUGCCUGCCUGCUUGUCGCGCUGACAGCCUGUAAGUCUGCCUCGUGCGUUGCGACUUACCUUGCCGCCAGAAAUGCUUUGAUGAAUGCAAGCAUUUCCACUUGAAUAUUUUGCUAUUUUUUUUUUUUGGUUUUACGCGAUUCCUGCCACUGCUCCUUGCUUUUGUUAUUACCGCCGUCUUCGUGCGCUCUCCUUGCCCUUUUCGCGCUAUGCAAUUUGUCCAUUGUUUUCUUCGACACAUUAUUUGGCCUUAAACAGGUUUGCUGCACACAUUUGGUUACGCUCUGGCGUGACGUGUUUGGCAUUUCGGCACUUGGGUUCACCAGUUGACGCAUUGGCUGUCGUUCGCGUUGCGUUCUUGUUCGCAGUCGCCGUCACAGUUGCAGCAGUCGUUGGCUGCGUCAUACCUUAAUAGGUAAGGACCGGACUGCAUUUUCCUGUUUAGCCCUUGCUUGUUGUCAACGUUUGUGUUGUUUUUAUUUUGUGUCGCAUGCGUGUAUACUUUUUCGUUGUUUAUUUCCGAUGAGUGUGAUUUUACUUGAUUGCGGUAGCUCGCUUUAUAAGCUGCGUCUCAAUUUUCUCAUAUCAUAUUGGCGUUGUUGCCACGUGCGCUCUCUUAUUUGUUGUUCGUUUUGAUUUUCUGUGGUUGUUGUAUAAUAAUUUUCUUCCACUUAUCUUCUGUUGUGCCAAAAAUUCCUACUGUGUUUGUUGCAUAUACCCGAUUUGAGUUGAUUCACACGACAGUUUCUACUCAGUUUUUUAAACAGUUACUCAAUUUGUUAUGUGUAAAAUAAAUAAUCGAUAUACGAUAACUUGAAGCUGAAUAAUGUUCGCGUCUGACUUUUAUGGAAACGGGAUUCAUUUGUAUUGAUUCUGUACCCCCGAUAUCUAUUACCCUUCAUGGCUAUCAAAUUAAGAAUCGAUAGUUGAGUAAUAUUCCUACUGACUCGCUCUUUUAAAGUUGGACGAUGAGCAUACGCCUCUAUUAUCUAUAAAUUCACCAUAAUUUCUUCACGGUCCCAUUACUUUCGAAAUUAUAGUGUCUUGGCGCCUAUCACAGUGUUAUCUCGUUUGGUCUCCAUUCCAGUUCCAUGUCAAUCUAUUUGCCUAAGAUCAUUGUGAGAUCCUUCUAACACAUACAAUUUUAAUAUAUUACAAGACAAUUAUAAAGAAAAUAAAUUAUAAAAUAAUUUUAUUAUAUAGAUAUUCCAUCUUGGACUAUAUGAGAAAAGUUUGAAAAUAAAAUACUACAAAAAUGAAAAUUUUAAUGAAAUGUUCAACAGUUCCUAGUUCCGGGUUCGCCGAGGUGUUUUAACCUUCACUUGUUCAUCUUCGACUGUAUUUUGUGACACCCAGAUACUCUUGACGUAUCGCUAAAGACUCUUGUGAUUCGACAAAGCGCUUGGACUCUACUAAAUAAAGUUCUUAAGUCGGCUAAUGUCGUUUCCAGUUGAUACGCUGGGUUCGCCGUAGUGUUUUAACCUUCACUUGUUCAUCUUCGACUGUAUUUUGUGACACCCAGAUACUGCUGACGCAUCGCCAAGACCUGUUUGUUUGACAAAGCGCUUAGACUACUGAGAUAAGAUAAAGUUCUUAAGUCUGCUAAUGUCGAUACCAGUUACUUCGCUCUGUUCGCCGAGGUGUUUUAACCUAAGUCUGACAAAUGCUGGAAAUUGAAGAAGGAAGUGCUUGGAUGAUUCCUUUCGCUUUCCUCUAAGCAUCUUUGGCAACUAACAUCUGGCUUGAUCCCUAACCUCAGCACAUGUUUGCCUAUUGGACAGUGUGAGCUCGCCAAGUAAGCAUAUCACUAAUUGCGACGAGAUGAGACCUCCUAAGCGACGGACCUUCCAGCCGUUUUCGAGCCACCGCGACCAGAAAAACCUUUCUUCUGUACAGGUAAUGGUUGUUGCCCAGCGCUUGGCGAGCUCACACAAGUCGGAAUUCAAAGUAGUUCGCAGCUACUGAUAACGAUGUUAGACACCCGCUUACUAGUUUAGAUCUCACUGUCGACGAAUCCAAGAUCAGUAUUGUAUACACACAUCUCUGAAGGAUGUUGCACUUCGGAGCAGUAUGCCUACUGCUACCUAAUCUAAUAAUGGUCUGGCAGCCGAAACUGGAUUUAAUUGAGAGUUUCCGACAGAAGACUCCCCUUCCCUCCUUCCCCCUGAGCUCCUAUGCAUCCGUGAAAAGGCUCACUGCGUCUCUUCAUCUCCUCAUCGCCUUCUCCUCUGCCAUAUAACUCUUUAAGGGAUGUGCGCAGUAAAGAAUCCGCUGGGAGACGGUUCCACGGCUUGAUAUUGAUACUAAACACCUAAUUUUUGUUUUAAAAAGAUUCGAAUUGGAAAACAGCAGUGGUCUAUGCUGAAAUAUUUCAUUCACUUAAAUACAAUAACAUAUCCAUAUACCAGUUGCAGUUCCUACUAGGCUGUCCUCUACAUUAGUAUUUUGAGUGCAGACAAAUUUUUUUACUCCAAUUGCGCUCUUGUUUCUUUACCAAAACAUUCCCAACGCACUCAGCACAGCACACGCUCACUCAGUCAUUUCGCUCAAAUGGGUGCUCCAACGAGUGAGCGAACAGCUGGUGAGCGAGCUGAUUUGCUUGCCGGCAAAGUAGCAAAAUCGCAACAGCAAAGCGAAUGGAGGCACAAAUGUCAGAAGCGCUAAAAUAGUGUUUUCCAAAACGGCGACGAAGCUGGUAGUUGUACGUUGUUGUUUGCGAGGCGAGUCCAUUCAUUCGCAGCGGUUUAGUUCUUUAUUUGCACGCUUGGUGAGACGGUGGCUUGCGUCUUCGACGGUUUGAGUUGUAGCACUGCCGUAAAGAAAGGGUGCGCGCGACGCGACGUACGUCAGACUUGGUGCAGAAGAAGUGUUUUAAGAAUAUACAAAAAAAUUUGAAUUUUUGUACAAUAAUAACAACCAAAUCUUAUCACCAAAGAACAAAAUAAGUAAAAAAAAAAUAUAUAUACACAAAGGAAACAUGUGAAAAAAGUGAUUUGUUUAUAACAAAAAUAUAAAUUAUUAAAAAAAAACCACAACAACACAAAAAAUACGACUAACAUGUAAUACUGUGUUUGCCUUGAAAUUACAUGAAAAAAGUGUUUAACGAAGGUUCAUACAAAAUAUAAGCAGCAACAACACAACCCAAAGUAAUAGCAUAAACAUAAAAUGGAUGGCGAACCGAUAGUGGCGCCCACAGUACGUCGCAAUCCGAGCAUAAAACGUUUGCUGAAAUUCCCAUGGGGUGGGCAAGGUGAGUCUUACUAUUUCAAUUAUUUACGCAUAGAUAUAUAUAGAUAAUCGAUUUCCUAACGAAGGUAAGUUAAAUAAACAUUCUCAAAAUACCGACAUAAAUUGGGAAAUAAAAUGAUGGUGAACAUGAAAUUCAGACGCGUAAUAAAUAGAAAAAAAUUAAAAAUCCUCUAUGUUACUGAAGAGAAGAAGAUCUUGUAUGAGGAGUUCUAAUAGAGCACUGUAUGAACCCUCUUUUCUCAUCUAGAAAUCGAUUUAUCAAGUGAUCCAAUUUCAAGAAUCAAGUUGCCUUUGAAGCAGUUUUUAUCGGUUCAUAACUAUGGUAUAUGUAUAAAUAAUUUUUUGUACCAGCUUUUGAAAAUUUGUUUUAAAUUCUUUGAACAUACUUUUUAUAUAUGUGAUGUGCUGGAAAUCUGUACAGAGCUAUAAUCUAUAGUAUCCGUACUUUGAGAGUUAAAAUCAAAUUUGAUCGAAACGGCACAUUUUGAACUAUUUCCGAAGUUAUGUAACUAUGGCUCUGUUUAUAUGUAAGUAGUCUUAUUGACUCUAUUUCUCUCUAUCUAUCUUAUCUCUCUUGAUAACAAACGUUUCGCCUCAAAUCUCAACUUCAUCAUGAAAGCAUGUGUUUACUAUGUGUCUUCACUUCAUUCGACUCAAGUCGAACUGAUAUGAAAUGGAUUGCGUACUUUUUGUAUUCAAAAUUUGUAUCUGCAGGGUCUCAUCGAGUUUGUUACAACGAACAUCAGAAUGGGAAAUGAUGGUGCCGAAUAAAGUGGGACUAUUAACUUAACGAUUUCUCAUAGCCUUUUCGUACAGGAGUUAAUUGAGCAAUUAACCGACCGUUGCUCAAUUAAAACGAUAAUUUAGAUGGAUUUAAAAUACAAAAGAAA